GUUGAUUUUAGGAUUAGGGUUUGCUUGCAUUGAGAAAUGUUGAAGAAAAUUAUAAAGGGUGGGCACAAAAAGCCCUCUAAAUCUGAUGGUAACGAUUCUGGAUUUGGGCCACCGGGGACCCGAAACUCUGGGUCGGGACCUGCAUCAAAUGUGGUGGUGAACCAUGCGUCUCGGACCACCCCUGGCCCUGUAACUCNGGGUCGUGCCCCCGCCGCCAAUGAAUUCGGUGGAGCCCCUCCCUCUUUUCCGGGAUGUGCCCGUAUCUGAGCGACAAAACCUGUUUCUCCGGAAGCUUCAGGUCUGUUGUUUCCAAUUGGACUUCAGCGAUACGCUAAAAUCGGUCCGAGAGAAGGAAAUCAAGAGACAAACGCUGUUGGAAUUGGUCAAUUUUAUUCAAUCCGGCUCGGGAAAAAUCACGGAAACCUGUCAAGAGGAAAUGAUUAGAAUGGUUUCCGUGAAUAUAUUCCGUUGUUUGCCCCCAGCUUCUCAUGAGAACACCGGGCAAGAAGCUGCAGAUCCCGAAGAGGAGGAGCCUUAUCUGGAACCCUCGUGGCCUCAUUUGCAGCUUGUUUAUGAGCUUCUUUUAAGAUAUGUUGUGUCAUCAGAUACUGACACGAAGGUUGCCAAGAAAUAUAUUGAUCAUUCUUUUGUGUUGAAACUGCUGGAUUUGUUUGAUUCCGAGGAUCCGCGGGAGAGGGAGUAUUUGAAGACGGAAGACAAUUCUUCAUAGGAUUUAUGGCAAAUUUAUGGUGCAUCGCCCAUUUAUUAGGAAAGCAAUAAAUAAUAUAUUCUAUCGGUUUGUUUAUGAGACUGAGAGGCACAGUGGGAUCGGAGAACUAUUGGAGAUUCUAGGGAGUAUAAUAAAUGGUUUUGCGCUGCCAAUGAAAGAGGAGCAUAAACUGUUUCUUGUAAGGGCGCUUAUACCACUGCAUAAACCAAAGCCAAUUUCUGUGUACCAUCAGCAACUGUCUUAUUGUAUUGUCCAGUUUGUGGAAAAGGAUUACAAGCUUGCAGAUACAGUUAUAAGGGGUUUGUUGAAGUAUUGGCCUCUGACUAAUUGUCAGAAGGAAGUUCUCUUCCUUGGAGAACUUGAAGAAGUGCUGGAGGCAACACAAUCAGCAGAGUUUCAACGCUGCAUGGUUCCUCUUUUCAGACAGAUUGCUCGCUGCCUCACUAGCUCUCAUUUCCAGGUUGCAGAAAGAGCCCUGUUUUUGUGGAACAAUGAACACAUUGUGAGCUUGAUUGCUCAGAAUCGUACUGUCAUAUUACCAAUUAUUUUUGAGGCAU
RNAcentral lists this unclassified non-coding RNA (1287 nucleotides) under Hevea brasiliensis (rubber tree). Lineage: Eukaryota; Viridiplantae; Streptophyta; Magnoliopsida; Malpighiales; Euphorbiaceae. The record is from RNAcentral.